Molecule: ribosomal RNA, 442 nt
Filed under: uncultured bacterium
Lineage: Bacteria
Description: partial 16S ribosomal RNA
Rfam family: Bacterial small subunit ribosomal RNA
Source: RNAcentral
CCUACGGGAGGCAGCAGUGGGGAAUCUUGCACAAUGGGCGAAAGCCUGAUGCAGCAACGCCGCGUGAGCGAAGAAGGCCUUUGGGUCGUAAAGCUCUGUCUAAAGGGAAGAAGGAAGUGACGGUACCUUAGGAGGAAGCCUCGGCUAACUACGUGCAAGCAGCCGCGGUAAUACGUGGGGGGCAAGCGUUAUCCGGAAUUAUUGGGCGUAAAGAGUAAGUAGGCGGUACGUAAAGCAGAGGGGCUAAGGCGAUGGCUUAACCAUCGUUCGCCCUGUGAACUGGAGGACUUGAGUAUCGGUGAGGAAAGCGGAAUGCCUAGUGUAGCGGUGAAAUGCGUAGAUAUUAGGAGGAACACCAGUGGCGAAGGCGGCUUUCUGGACGAAAACUGACGCUGAGGUACGAAAGCGUGGGGAGCAAACAGGAUUAGAUACCCCAGUAGUC